GAUGAACGCUGGCGGCGUGCCUAAUACAUGCAAGUCGAGCGAACAGACGAGGAGCUUGCUCCUCUGACGUUAGCGGCGGACGGGUGAGUAACACGUGGAUAACCUACCUAUAAGACUGGGAUAACUUCGGGAAACCGGAGCUAAUACCGGAUAAUAUAUUGAACCGCAUGGUUCAAUAGUGAAAGACGGUUUUGCUGUCACUUAUAGAUGGAUCCGCGCCGCAUUAGCUAGUUGGUAAGGUAACGGCUUACCAAGGCAACGAUGCGUAGCCGACCUGAGAGGGUGAUCGGCCACACGGGAGCUGAGAAACGGUCCAGACUCCUACGGGAGGCAGCAGUAGGGAAUCUUCCGCAAUGGGCGAAAGCCUGACGGAGCAACGCCGCGUGAGUGAUGAAGGUCUUCGGAUCGUAAAACUCUGUUAUUAGGGAAGAACAAAUGUGUAAGUUACUAUGCACGUCUUGACGGUACCUAAUCAGAAAGCCACGGCUAACUACGUG
This 497-nucleotide ribosomal RNA is filed under the name uncultured bacterium. Its description in RNAcentral is "partial 16S ribosomal RNA". It matches the Rfam family "Bacterial small subunit ribosomal RNA", at positions 28 to 507 of the family's 1533-position model. The record is from RNAcentral.